GCAUUUUAAAGCCUUGAGGGGAAGCUCGAAAGGGAAAGCCCAAAGAGAACAAUAUGUGCUAGCGGUGGAUCUGGGUAGUUACAUCAGCCCUUCCGAAGACGUUUCUGUUCUUAUUUUUGCAAUCUGAGGACGUAAUUAACCGUUGGAAUUAGCUUGUUGCGAGUGACUUCGACCAAGGCCAUCGAGGUAAGUGACCUUACUGUUAAAGUUAGCUUAUUAUGUGUUGUAUGAUGGUGAGUGCCCUGCGACCCCUGCAUGUACCAUACUUUAUGUGAUAUGACUAUGUGGUGUAUGAAUUAUGUUGACUAUUGACUGUUUAUGUUAUGAGAAGUUAUGGUUGAUCUGCUA
Cucurbita pepo subsp. pepo (vegetable marrow) is the source of this 348-nucleotide non-coding RNA. The record is from RefSeq and is a predicted model, not a curated record. NCBI's taxonomy places the organism in Eukaryota, Viridiplantae, Streptophyta, Magnoliopsida, Cucurbitales, Cucurbitaceae.